UUCCAGUGGCUGGGUGCAGCGG
RNAcentral lists this unclassified non-coding RNA (22 nucleotides) under Mus musculus (house mouse). RNAcentral describes it as "oocyte_clustered_small_RNA12296". Lineage: Eukaryota; Metazoa; Chordata; Mammalia; Rodentia; Muridae. The record is from RNAcentral.